RNAcentral lists this long non-coding RNA (549 nucleotides) under Theobroma cacao (cacao). Its description in RNAcentral is "long non-coding RNA (TCAC_LNC002092)". The record is from RNAcentral. Lineage: Eukaryota; Viridiplantae; Streptophyta; Magnoliopsida; Malvales; Malvaceae.
UUAUAUUUACAGUUUUCUAUCACGGUUAACGAAAGAUUUUAAACUCAACAUAAUUUAAUACUAUAUAAAAAUGGCUUCAUUCCACAGAUAUUUCUCUGCACCGUACUUGACCAGUUGGGUCUGUCAGAAAUGGUUAAAGACUUCAUAGUUGCUUUCAUUUGUCGCCGGCAUAAAUGGUUUGGUUACUUACAAACUUUUCUUUGCCGAUUGUCAGCCAUUUUGACCAUACCCUUACCCGCCUCUCCACUCUCCGCACAACAUGGAAUUGUAUAAGCCUAUUAUCCAGCUCAUCUGAAUAGAAAUUUAAUUAGUUAUAACAUGCCAUUCACGCUUGCUUGGGAAGCAGGGACUGACGGAGUAAGGGUUCCAGCCAGGAUCACGUCCAGGUCAAAUCCAUCCUAAUAUGAAUAGGAUCGCGUUGCUCAUGCAUCGAGAUCCUGGUCAACUACAACGAACCCCAGAUCUUGGCCAUGAAAAACGCAGCACAUUUGUAACCUACCAUGGAUGAUGCAGCCUCAGCCGCUGACUUGGGUACCAAGGAAAGCGAAG